AACGAACGCUGGCGGCAGGCCUAACACAUGCAAGUCGAGCGAGGACUUCGGUUCUAGCGGCGGACGGGUGAGUAACGCGUGGGAAUGUGCCCUUCUCUACGGAAUAGCCCUGGGAAACUGGGAGUAAUACCGUAUACGCCCUAUUGGGGAAAGAUUUAUCGGAGAAGGAUCAGCCCGCGUUGGAUUAGGUAGUUGGUGGGGUAAUGGCCUACCAAGCCGACGAUCCAUAGCUGGUUUGAGAGGAUGAUCAGCCACACUGGGACUGAGACACGGCCCAGACUCCUACGGGAGGCAGCAGUGGGGAAUCUUAGACAAUGGGGGCAACCCUGAUCUAGCCAGGCCGCGUGAGUGAUGAAGGCCUUAGGGUUGUAAAGCUCUUUCAGCUGGGAAGAUAAUGACGGUACCAGCAGAAGAAGCCCCGGCUAACUCCGUGC
RNAcentral lists this ribosomal RNA (434 nucleotides) under uncultured bacterium. Its description in RNAcentral is "partial 16S ribosomal RNA". It matches the Rfam family "Bacterial small subunit ribosomal RNA", at positions 29 to 508 of the family's 1533-position model. The record is from RNAcentral.